This 253-nucleotide ribosomal RNA is filed under the name uncultured Eubacteriales bacterium. RNAcentral's name for it is "uncultured Clostridiales bacterium partial 16S ribosomal RNA". It matches the Rfam family "Bacterial small subunit ribosomal RNA", at positions 524 to 776 of the family's 1533-position model. The record is from RNAcentral. Lineage: Bacteria; Bacillati; Bacillota; Clostridia; Eubacteriales.
UACGUAGGGGGCAAGCGUUAUCCGGAUUUACUGGGUGUAAAGGGAGCGUAGGUGGCGUGCCAAGUCAGGAGUGAAAACCCAGGGCCCAACCCUGGGACUGCUCUUGAAACUGGCAGGCUUGAGUGCUGGAGAGGUAAGCGGAAUUCCUAGUGUAGCGGUGAAAUGCGUAGAUAUACGGAGGAACACCAGUGGCGAAGGCGGCCUGCUGGACAUUAACUGACGCUGAGGCGCGAAAGCGUGGGGAGCAAACAGG